UAAAAUCAAAGUGCUGGAUAGCACCUCUGGAAAGUUUGCAACUGUAUAUGUGUAUUAAUAGGUUAUAGACGUGUAUUAUUUCAAAUAUGUAUUUAACCAUAGUUUUGAUUUUUCAAACUAAACCAUUCUCUCGCCAGCAAUUUCCAAAAAUCACUGUUCAUGCCCCAUUUAUCGGCAUUAUGUUUUCUGGUCUGUGCGUCUGUUCGUCCUUCUGUCCGUUCGUCUCACGGUCCCAUUCGGGUUAAAGUUUUUGGUUGAGGUAGUUUUUGAUGAGGUCGAAGUCCAAUCAAUUUAAAACUUAGUACACACUAGAAAACACCUGUGAUAUCGCGGGUCCAUGACUGAAUUAAAGUAUAUAACUAUGCGUAAGCCUUAUUUUAGUAUUGGGAUUAUCAUCUGAUAAAGUCAUGCCGAUUAUAAGAUGAACAGUUUUCUCUGCUUUCAAAAUCUUUCUGUUUGAACCUGUCGACCUGGAACUUAUUAAUUAUUGGUAAUAUUAAUUAUUUGGAAAACAAAAGGUCCUGGAAUGGAGUAUUUUUUAAUCAACAGCAUUGUCCUAUAUUUAUUAAUUUAGUUAUAAAUAAAGUUGAAUUCUUUGAUUUGCUGUUUUAUGUCAUGCCCGCUAACAAAUUAAAAACUGUACCUAUACGCCUUAUCUUAAGUCCAGAUGUUUAGUAUUCAUAUUGUCAUCUCAAAUCAGAAAGGCUUACUGCUUAAAAUACUACAAUAGGGAACAAUUUGACAAUGGUUGAAUAUAUUAGUGUCCUAUAUUUGAUAUAUAUAAAAUUCUUUAAUUUGUCAUUUAUACCUAAUGACGGCUGACAAAUUGGACCUCGUUAUUUUAGUAUUAUAGAUGUUCCCUAUGAUUUAAUCUUUCUAAUUUAAAUGCCAAAUUAGAGUUUUUACUCCAUUUUCACGGUCCACUAGAAUAGAAAAUGAUAGUGCAGAUGGGGCAUGCGUGUAUGGACACAUUCUUGUUUUAUAUAUAUCUAUACUUCUAAAUCUAAAGACCGUUUUUUAUGUUCACUUGAUAAAUGUAUAACCGAAGAAAGGUACAAGUCAAACUUAUAUAUAAGGGUAUAUAUACUUGACAGGGUAUACUGAAAAUGUCACCCCUUUACAACUAGAAUGGUAAAAGUGACGCCAACAACAUUCAAACUUGACUUGUGGUUUGUGGUUAUAAGUAUUGCGUAUAAGUUUCAUAAAAUUUGGUUCAGGCAAACUAAAGUAAGAGAACAGAAAUCAAUUUGGGAUGUAUGGACGUACGUACAAAUAAGAGACGUACAUACUUACAGAAAAAAACAAGGAUAAAACUCAAUAUGGUGGGGGCACUGAACAAUAGUAGUAUGACCUCAGGAAUAAAAAGUGUAUAUACACUAGAUUCAUACAAUGUUGAUCUAAGGUGCUUAUUACCCUGUAACACAUUUUAGUUGCUGCUGUGUAAUUACCAUUGAAGCAAUGACAUUUGAGAUUUUUGAUCUAAGCCAUUUAUUUGAUAUACUAGUAAUCAUUGCCUCUGUGUUAGGACGACACAUUGUUAAUUAUAGGUCAAUCUUAAAGAAUCAUACUGCCCCAGGAAUAAAGUGUGAGGAUAAAAAGUUCUGGAUCCGCCACUGCAUUGUUAAGCACUAAGAAAGUCAUUUUGCUAGUACAUGGACAAAUGUUAUUUUAAAAAUCAUUUUAAUAAUUUCUACAGCACUUGUCUUUAGCUUGAUCUCUGUCUUGAUACACUGAACUAUAACAUUCUAAGAAGUAAAUGAUGACUCGGUUGCUUUUAAAUUAUACGGAUGCUAUGAUAAUAAUUGUCAUUUAAUGUUUUUCUGUUGUCAGUUUGAUCAACUUGAGCAUGCUGAACGAGUGAAGGUGCUUAUAUCCACAUUGGAAUGUGAAACAGCUAGUAUUUAAAUAACGGAAUUAAAAGUUUUCAAGUCAUUCUUGGCAUCAAAACUUUCAGACCGAUGUCAGUUUGACAAAAACAAUGCACUUUUCUAUUAAAGUCGGUAUUUACCUUAAAUCGUCCUUGGUGUGAGACAUAAGCCAUAUAACUAUCGAUUAUUUUAUAUUCUAUCACCUGUGUAUUGUUAAAAUAAAUUAAACCAUUAUCACUUGUCUGACAAUUAUCCGACAACUUCGUCAAAUAUCAACUUGUUCUCGCAUACCGGACUCUUUCGAUACACUCGGGAUUUUACUUAUUCAAUAAUAAACAGUUAAAAUAUCGUACAUAGUAAAAAAUAGUGCGGGAAAAUGUUCAUUCAUGAAAUAUUCAUGAAUGAAACGCUGUCUCGCGUAGAUUUCUUUUGAUUUUCUCUUCAGCCAAUGGCCGAUCCGCAAAGUGUUUGUGAUACUUAUUUUCAAAAUGAAGUUAAAUUCAUCUGAAUUGUCGGUGAACAUUCAUUCCUUUUUUUAUUCAAGAUGUAAUCUUUUCAAAAGAGUAGCAACUCAAAAUAUCCAAGAAUCAGAAUAAUUUCGAACACUAGUACUACAUUAUCUUGGAGCAGAACAUUGUGAUAGUCUGUCUCACCGGAAGUUGAGGCCGACGCCUAAGGAAAGUAGCUAUAGCAAGCUAUAGCAAACUUUCCAAAAAC
This 2585-nucleotide long non-coding RNA is filed under the name Mytilus galloprovincialis (Mediterranean mussel). The record is from RNAcentral. Lineage: Eukaryota; Metazoa; Mollusca; Bivalvia; Mytilida; Mytilidae.